RNAcentral lists this ribosomal RNA (329 nucleotides) under Limosilactobacillus fermentum. RNAcentral's name for it is "bacterial SSU rRNA". The stretch from base 68 to 321 matches the Rfam family "Bacterial small subunit ribosomal RNA", at positions 100 to 347 of the family's 1533-position model. The record is from RNAcentral. Lineage: Bacteria; Bacillati; Bacillota; Bacilli; Lactobacillales; Lactobacillaceae.
UCGACGCGUUCUGCGCCAAUUGAAUGAGGGUGCAUGCACCUGAUUGUAUUUGGUCGCCACGAGUGGCGGACGGGUGAGUAACACGUAUGUAACCUGCCCAGAAGCGGGGGACAACAUUUGGAAACAGACGCUAAUACCGCAUAACAACGUUGUUCGCAUGAACAACGCUUAAAAGAUGGCUUCUCUCUAUCACUUUCUGGAUGGACCUGCGGUGCAUUAGCUUGUUGGUGGGGUAACGGCCUACCAAGGCGAUGAUGCAUAGCCAAGUUGAAGACUGAUCGGCCACAUAGGGACUGACACACGGCCCAUACUCCACGGGAGAGACCAGU